RNAcentral lists this long non-coding RNA (1484 nucleotides) under Taeniopygia guttata (zebra finch). RNAcentral's name for it is "lncRNA (ENSTGUG00000027996.1)". The record is from RNAcentral. Lineage: Eukaryota; Metazoa; Chordata; Aves; Passeriformes; Estrildidae.
AUUUAAAGGAUUUUGGGGGUGCUGGAACCCCCUAAUUGGAGACCCCCUCCCCAAAUUUCUCCCCCCCCUCCCCCCCCAGGGCAGCAGCUCCGGGAGCUCCCCCGGCCCGGCCCGAGCCCCGCAGCGCCCGAGGAGGGGUACGGGGGGAUUUGGGGGGUCCGGGGGGAUUUGGGGGGUCCGGGGGGAUUUGGGGGGUACGAGGGGAUUUGGGGGGAUUUGGGGGGAUUUGGGGGAUUUAGGGGGGUUUGGGGGGAUUUGGGGGGAUUUGGGUGGGGUUUGGAGGGAUUUGGGGGGAUUUGGGGGGAUUUGGGGGGAUUUGGGUGGGCUUGGGGGAUUAGGGGAGGAUUUGGGGGGGUUAGAGGGGAUUAGGGUGGGGUUUGGGGGAUUGGGGGGAAUUUGGGGGGAUUUGGGGGGGUCUGGGGGGUCUGGGGGGGUCCGGGGGGGUCCGGGGGAAUUUGGGGGGGUCUGGGGGGUCCGGGGGGGUCCGGGGGGAUUUGGGGGGUCCGGGGGGAUUUGGGGGGGUCCCCAUGAGGGUCCCACCCCGCUGCCCCCGCAGCUCUCAGCGGCUCUCGGAGAAAGUGGCGCAGCUCGAGGCGGCGCUGAGGCGGCUGCAGGAGGGUCACGAGGAGCAGCAGCAGCUCCGGGCUGAGCUGCGGCGGCUGCGGCGGGACCAGGAGGACACCGAGGGGCGGCACCGGGUCGAGAGACCCCCGGGGACCCCCGGAGAGACCCUGACCCCCGGAGAGACCCCCUGACCCCCCCGGGACCCCCGACAGCCCCUGAGCCCCCCCCCCGGGACCCCCUGACCCCCCCGGGGACCCCCGAGGGACCCCCGGGACCCCCGGAGAGACCCUGACCCCCCCUCGGGGACCCCCCAACUGUGAAACUGAAGCUGUGACACCCCCCCGUGCCCCCCUCCCCCACCCCGGCGUGUGACACUGGAACCCCCCCGUGUGUCCCCCCCCAAAAAAGUGACACUGGAACCCCCCCGGCAAUAAAAACCCAGUUCAUCCCAGUUCAUCCCAGUUCAUCCCAGUGCUCCCAGUAUAUCCCAGUCCAUCCCAGUUCAUCCCAGUUCAUCCCAGUACAUCCCAGUUCAUCCCAGUUCAUCCCAGUUCAUCCCAGUGCUCCCAGUUCAUCCCAGUUCAUCCCAGUUCAUCCCAGUCCAUCCCAGUUCAUCCCAGUGCUCCCAGUUCAUCCCAGUGCUCCCAGUUCAUCCCAGUUCAUCCCAGUUCAUCCCAGUGGUCCCAGUUCAUCCCAGUAUAUCCCAGUAUAUCCCAGUGCUCCCAGUUCAUCCCAGUUCACCCCAGUGCUCCCAGUCCAUCCCAGUAUAUCCCAGUUCAUCCCAGUCCAUCCCAGUCCAUCCCAGUCCAUCCCAGUAUAUCCCAGUUCAUCCCAGUCCAUCCCAGUCCAUCCCAGUCCAUCCCAGUCCCUCCCAGUCCAUCCCAGUCCCUCCCAGUCCAUCCCAGUGCUCCCAGUCCGGG